RNAcentral lists this long non-coding RNA (279 nucleotides) under Mytilus galloprovincialis (Mediterranean mussel). Lineage: Eukaryota; Metazoa; Mollusca; Bivalvia; Mytilida; Mytilidae. The record is from RNAcentral.
CACAUUUUGAAGAUAUGGAAUGUGCUCUCGGACAGGCCUAUCAUUGUUUAGCAAAAGCUUUGUUGAUCUUUGGACAACCGAAAGAGGCUCGAUUUUAUUUUGCUAAAUCAAACGCGUAUAAAGAAAAAUAUAAGGGUUUUUAUUUCUAAUAUUCAAUCUCACACAUAUAUGCCAUUAUAGGACUCGGAACCGUGAUGGUACUUCGAACCGCGAUGGUCAAGCUGAACUGCGAUGGUCCCCACUGAGGUGUGUUGUUUAAUACGCUUAUGUGCGAUGGCG